RNAcentral lists this ribosomal RNA (253 nucleotides) under uncultured bacterium. RNAcentral's name for it is "partial 16S ribosomal RNA". It matches the Rfam family "Bacterial small subunit ribosomal RNA", at positions 524 to 776 of the family's 1533-position model. The record is from RNAcentral.
UACGUAGGGACCAAGCGUUGUUCGGAUUUACUGGGCGUAAAGGGCGCGUAGGCGGCAACUCAAGUCAUCUGUGAAAUCUCCGGGCUUAACUCGGAACGGUCAGAUGAUACUGCUUUGCUCGAGUGCGGAAGGGGCAAUCGGAAUUCUUGGUGUAGCGGUGAAAUGCGUAGAUAUCAAGAGGAACACCUGAGGUGAAGACGGGUUGCUGGGCCGACACUGACGCUGAAGCGCGAAAGCCAGGGGAGCAAACGGG